AAGCUCGUAGUUGAAUUUCGGGAUCAAUUUAUUGGUCGUGCAAUAGUACGUACUGGUAUUAUUGAUUCCUACCUUCUGACGAACCAUGAUGUCAUUAAUUUGGUGUCAUGGGGAAUCAGGACUGUUACUUUGAAAAAAUUAGAGUGUUUAAAGCAGGCUCACGCUUGAAUACAUUAGCAUGGAAUAACGAAAUAGGACGUUUGAUUUUAUUUUGUUGGUUUCUAGGAUCGACGUAAUGAUUAAUAGGGAUAGUUGGG
RNAcentral lists this ribosomal RNA (257 nucleotides) under uncultured Glomeromycotina. RNAcentral describes it as "partial 18S ribosomal RNA". It matches the Rfam family "Eukaryotic small subunit ribosomal RNA", at positions 624 to 886 of the family's 1831-position model. Lineage: Eukaryota; Fungi; Glomeromycota. The record is from RNAcentral.